This 306-nucleotide long non-coding RNA is filed under the name Gallus gallus (chicken). The record is from RNAcentral. Lineage: Eukaryota; Metazoa; Chordata; Aves; Galliformes; Phasianidae.
CAUGGACUGGCCAUUGUUGAAGUUGAAAUAGUAGAUAUCACCAGUGACAUCCAGGGCUUCCACUGGGGUGGUAACGGAGCCACAAUGCCUUCCCUGGCCAGCCACAUCAGCUCAGGCUCCUUCUCUGGCUCAAUGCCGAUGUCUCUCGCAAAAUCCCAGACUUCUUGCUCACUGGGAACAUAUGUCUCAUCAUAAUCUUCUUCCAGUAUGAUCUGGUCACCAAUGCGUACAACACCUCCUUCCAUGGCUCCCUGCAUCCUUCACUCGGCCCCAACGGACUCUCAUCGGGCCGCGCCGCCCCGCGCC